GGGGAUUUAGCUCAGCGGCAUAAGCACCUGCCUUGCAAGCAGGUGGUCGUGAGUUCACGAUCCCUG
Molecule: transfer RNA, 66 nt
Filed under: Cavia porcellus (domestic guinea pig)
Lineage: Eukaryota; Metazoa; Chordata; Mammalia; Rodentia; Caviidae
Rfam family: tRNA
About the family: Transfer RNA (tRNA) molecules are approximately 80 nucleotides in length. Their secondary structure includes four short double-helical elements and three loops (D, anti-codon, and T loops).
Source: Rfam by way of RNAcentral